This 3201-nucleotide long non-coding RNA is filed under the name Sus scrofa (pig). Its description in RNAcentral is "lncRNA (ENSSSCG00060003124.1)". Lineage: Eukaryota; Metazoa; Chordata; Mammalia; Artiodactyla; Suidae. The record is from RNAcentral.
UAGGGCCGCUCCCGAGGCAUAUGGAAGUUCCCAGGCUAGGGGUCUAAUUGGAGCUGUAGCCGCCGGCCUACGCCAGAGCCACAGCAAUGUAGGAUCGGAGCCACAUCUGUGGCCUACACCACAGCUCACGGCAACGCCAGAUCCUUAACCCACUGAGCAAGGCCAGGGAUCAAACCUGCAACCUCAUGGUUUCUAGUCAGAUUCGUUAACCACUGCGCCAUGAUGGGAACUCCUGAACAUCUUUAAAUUGCACGGAUUCCAUGAACUUGCUAAGCCUGGUGUACAACUUAGGAGUGUGGGGCCCACAGAGGGCAUGUGGGUUAUCCAGGGGCAUACAGCUAGCUAGUACAAGAGCCAGAUUUGAAACUGGCUCCACUGGCCAUGAACUUUUCCAAUGCACUUGGAAGAUAUUUCCACCUAAGUUCAAGUGCUAUGUUUAUGCAUUUUUAUGUCUCUGGGCCUCGAUCUGACUACUCCUUCCAUCACUCAAUCAUCCGUGCAGUCCUGGAAAAAAAAUGUCUCCUAGACAAAAAAAAUUAGUUUACAUUUCCAUUUUCACUUCAAUCUGAAUGAAAACAGUCCAGAGUUGGAUGAUGGCUUUACGGUAUCAGGGACUCAGACUCUUUCUAUCUUAGAGCACUCCCAUCUUCAACCAGUAGUUUUCAUCUCAUGGCCCAAUAUGGCUGCUUGAGCACUGCCAUUGCACCUACAAUACUACCAGUAGGAAGCAGAGAAAAAGAAGUAGAAGUCACCCUCUUUAGGACACAAACAAGAAUGUUUUGUGCCGCUUCCACUCUCACCUUACUGGCUGGAAUUAGGCAUAUGUCCUAUAAUACUGCCAGAGAGGCUGGGAACAGUAGUCAUUGGAUAACAUAGCUGGGCAGCCAUCAUGUUUUCCUCUAAAACUUGGGACUCUAUUACCAAUGAAUAUAUUAUCCAUUCUCUGUCACUCAUAUAUUUUCUGAGCACCCACCAUGUGCAGAAGAAGGUGCAGCAGACUAGAAAUAGCGUAAACUUCAUAAUUUGACUGUCUUGGGUUUGAAUCCCAAUUUUGUCUUUCCCAGCUAUAUUUCAUCACCUCUCUGAGCCUCAGUUUCCUCAUUAAUAAUAUGGAGACAAGAGAGUAAGCACGAUCAUCCCAUGCGGGAAUUUUAUGAGAGACACGAUAUAGACUUAGGACUGAACCUGGUGUACAGUUGGCACUAAGGAAACAGCAGUUGCAUCAGACUCCAAUGUGUAUUUUAUGCUGAUAGCACAUCUCAAUUCAGACUAGCCACGUUUCAAGUUCUCAGUAGUCACUUGUACUAUACUAGACAGCACAGAUCUAAACCAUCAAAUAAAAAGAUAAAUGUUUUAAAAGAAAGAGAGAAAACAAAAGAAAUGGCAGCUGCUUUUAAAAUCAGCCAGACCCUAAGCCAGACUUCCAGGGGCCAGAGGUGACUUAGCAGAGGCCCUGCCCUCGAUUCCAGUGGAGAGACAUUCCAGGGCGGCCUGCUGUCAAUAAAAGCCCAGAGAUAUGUCUAUGAAUAAUCCCAAUGCAUCAAUCAUGCAUGAGUCAGAGCAGUUAUACCCAUAAGUCAUAAAGCAGCAGCUGGGCCCAGGAUUCCUGGCAUCCUUCCAAGCCCAUCUCCCCAACCCCAUUUUCCAGAGGAGCAAAUAGAGCCAAAGGGAAGAUUGCAAGCACAGUGUGACUACACUGUUUUAUUUUAUCAGUCUCCUCCUAAUGGGGCAUGGGGGUUGGUUCCAGUUUGGAGUCACCAUAAACAGACUUGGCCGGGCCUUCCCAUACCUACAGGAGCAGGGAUUUCCAGAGAGGCUGGGAAGAAGGAAUUGCUGGGGUGAAUUACAGAUCUGUGGGGUGCUCCAACUGCAACGGAGGGAGAUGACUCUCCCCAAGUUACUGACAGAUCACAACCUCAGCACCACUGACAUUCUGGGCCAGAGAAUUCUCUGGUGUGGGGGCUGUUCUAUGUCUGGUAGGCUGUUUGGCAGCUUUCCUGGCCUCUACCCACCACAAGAUGCCAGGAGCAUACCAUCACCCCCAGUUGCGACAACCACAAAUACCUGCAGACAUUGCCAAAUGUCCUCUGAGGGUAAAAAGCAUCCCCAGUUGAGAAUCACUGCUCUCAAAGUACAGAGCCUGCCAGUAGGGUUUCUAAACACAGAUUCUUUAUGCAGAUUUGUGGAUGUUACUGAUUUUCUUCUCUUUGGAAAGGGUCUAUGACCUUGCUAGUUACUAGUUUAUGAACAAAGAUUUCAGGUCAUUAUUAGGAUAAUUAGUGGAAUUUGAAUAUGGACAAUAAGAAUGAUAUUAUAACAUUGUAUCAGCAUUAAAUUUCCUGAUUUUGACAACUAUACAGUGGUCAUAGAAGUGAAUGUACAUGUUAUUCAGUGAUGCACAUCAAAGUAGUUAAGACUGAAAGGACAAUGUGUCUUUCCUGUGUAACUGACUCUCAAAUGGUUCAGAAAAAUUACACAUGCACAGAGAAAGAAUGAUAAAUCAAGUGUAGCAAAUUGUUGAUAAUUGUGGGAAUCUGAGUAAAGGAGAUAUAUGGAAGUUUAUUGCAACAUUUUGGCAAAUUUUCUGUAAAUUUGAAAUUAUUUUUUAGAAAUUAUUAUUUUAAAAGUAGUGUUUUUUUUUCUUUUUUCUUUUUUUUUCUUUUUAGUGCCACACUCACAGCAUAUGGAGGUCCCCAGGCUAGGGGGUCUAACCGGAGCUACAGCCUGCUGGCCUACACCACAAACACAGCAAUGAGGGAUCUGAGCCAAGUCUGCAACCUAGACUACAGCUCACAGCAAUGCCAGAUCCUUAACCCACUGAGUGAGGCCAGGGAUGGAACCCGCAUCCUCGUGGAUCCUAGUCGGGUUCAUUAACUGCUGAACCAUGACGGGAACUCCUUAAAAGAGUUUUUAAAAAUCCUCUAUGCUUUAUUCUAGUUUUUGAAACAUGGUUUUAAUCUAUUAUUCCCGCCUACUCCCAGGAAAAAGAUCCAUGAUUGUGCCCAGGAUCUGGACCUCAUUCAGGUCACAGUCCCAAGGAUCUCCCAGAACGAGUUCUCUUUGCAUUUAUUUGCAUCUGUGAAGUGCCGAGAAAGAAGUUUCACCCAACAUUAACAAUGAUUAGUUAUGGACCCACCAGGCCCCAGUUUUGUUCAAAUGUCCACCCCUCCCCUAGGCAGCCCAGUUGCCUCAGAAAAGUGA